AUUCGCCCUUAGAGUUUGAUUCUCGGCUCAGGACGAACGCUGGCGGCACGCCUAACACAUGCAAGUCGAACGGUGAAGGGGGAGCUUGCUCCUCCGGAACAGUGGCGGACGGGUGAGUAACACGUGAGCAACCUGCCUUUCAGAGGGGGACAACAGUUGGAAACGACUGCUAAUACCGCAUAAUGUAUUUUGGCGGCAUCGCCGGAAUACCAAAGGAGCAAUCCGCUGAAAGAUGGGCUCGCGUCUGAUUAGAUAGUUGGUGAGGUAACGGCUCACCAAGUCGACGAUCAGUAGCCGGACUGAGAGGUUGAACGGCCACAUUGGGACUGAGACACGGCCCAGACUCCUACGGGAGGCAGCAGUGGGGGAUAUUGGACCCCCCGGGAAACCCUGAUCCAGCGAUGCCGCGUGAGGGAAGAAGGUAUUCGGAUUGUAAACCUCUGUGGAGGGGGACGAUAAUGACGGUACCCCU
RNAcentral lists this ribosomal RNA (472 nucleotides) under uncultured bacterium. RNAcentral describes it as "bacterial SSU rRNA". It matches the Rfam family "Bacterial small subunit ribosomal RNA", at positions 1 to 482 of the family's 1533-position model. The record is from RNAcentral.